GUCUCAGUUCAGAUUGCAGGCUGCAACCCGCCUGCAUGAAGUCGGAAUUGCUAGUAAUCGCGGAUCAGCAUGCCGCGGUGAAUACGUUCCCGGGCCUUGUACACACCGCCCGUCACACCAUGGGAGCCGGUAAUACCCGAAGUCAGUAGUCCAACCUCGUGAGGACGCUGCCGAAGGUAGGAUUGGCGACUGGGGUGAAGUCGUAACAAGGUAUC
This 215-nucleotide ribosomal RNA is filed under the name uncultured bacterium. RNAcentral describes it as "partial 16S ribosomal RNA". It matches the Rfam family "Bacterial small subunit ribosomal RNA", at positions 1285 to 1500 of the family's 1533-position model. The record is from RNAcentral.